RNAcentral lists this long non-coding RNA (2584 nucleotides) under Eucalyptus grandis. RNAcentral's name for it is "long non-coding RNA (EGRA_LNC005864)". The record is from RNAcentral. Lineage: Eukaryota; Viridiplantae; Streptophyta; Magnoliopsida; Myrtales; Myrtaceae.
GAGAGAGAGAGAGAGAGAGAGAGGGGGGAGUGAUCGGAGGCGGCUCCGGAAGCCAUGAGCGGCGGCCGUUCGUAUCGCGACCGCUUGCCACGCGUCAAGGUCGGAGAGGCUUGGCUUCUUCGGCUCGCCCACGAGGAAGAGCCUCGCUUCGGGCCCAGGAUUCCGUGGAAAUUGUCCGUACGCUUGCUCGCUCUGAUGUUCAUCUCUAUCCUUUUCCGUUUCGCCCUGCAGUUAACUUUUUUCCUUUUUUUUAUCCCCGUUUUCCGCGGAUUCAUACAUCUGUAGCUUUCGUUCCGUUGAUUUUUGGUCGUGUCCGGUGAAGUAGCUGCAGAUCGAGAGCGGGCGUUUCUUUUUGGUCUCUGCUGUUUGGAACUCGUGAUUUGAGAACAUUAAAUUGUAGAUUGACCCACAAAAGGCGCUAAAUUGCAGGGCUAUCAGCUUUGGUGCUGAGUUCAUGUAGUUCCUAGUGAAUGGCGAAUUUGAUAGAGUGGGGAAAGAAAAAAAGGGUAAUUGGAACAAUGUGGAUUAGCGCGAAGUAGCGUCGUCGCUGCAGUAUCGGCUUGGUAUGUUUCUUUGGAUUAUUUAGAGUGGAGCACGAGUAGUGGCUCGCUAGUCCUGUGUAGCUGGUCUUUUGUGAACUUAAGUUGAAUUCUGCAAUUCAGCACUGUGGCCAAUCGGGUAGGUGUUACUGGAAUGAUACUUAGUAUCGCAAAAUGUAAUUGUCUCUUCAUAAAUCAUGAGAAUUGAAAAGGAAUUUGCAGUGGUCUUAUGGGCGAGUUUGAUAAAAAAACUCAGUUUUCUUUUGGAUAUGGAACCUGCCCAACAGGUUGAAGUUUCAAAGCUUUAGGUUUCUUGAGAUUUUUUCUUUGCUGCUCUUUGUUCUUCUACUUGGUGCUCUGCUAUUGAGUUUUUAUAAGUUAAAAAGACUUAGAUUGAUCACUCGCAAGAAUGGAUGUUAAAAUCAGGUCCUUGUUAGUAUUGAUGAGUGUCUGAAGGAUGUCACUGACAUGAUAUCGUGUGAGAUCAAAAAUCAAAGAAUGACUUUAAAGGUUCACCUCAUAUCUAUCCUAGAAUUAGAAGAAAGGUCAGAUAUUUUAUAAUGUCAAUUGUCAAGUGAUUCAAAUCUGGAGACUAUUAUGUAAAAUGAUGGUAGGGUCAGUAUGAUCAGGCCACUACCGAGAUAUUUUCUUCUUUAAUCUUAGGAUUGGAACUAUAUAGCAAAAUUAAAAUCCCACACAAGUUCAAUAUUCUUAAUAUCGAAACUUAGCUUUAUAUUCGAAGGUUGUGAUGAGAGUCAUGAAGCAACUAAAAAAACAGAUAAUAAGCAUCUCCAAGGCAGGUGUACAAGCAACUCUAGAUGCAUGGACAUGAAUCCUAUCUGCUACCAAUUCCCACAGGAGGGCAUUUUGACAAUUCUAAACCACUCACAUUGAGAAAUGGCUCUAAUUGAGGGAAGCCCUAGAAACUUAAACUUUCUUCAUUGACCUGAUUGUUUCCUUGAUGUUGUUGAUUAAAGAUGCCUCGUUCGUUGGUUGUCCUUUAAGCAGGACUAUGUAACUUUUGUCAAGCUAUAUUUCAAGGUUCCGCAUAUGCUACGUGUAAUGAUUACUGCCUUGUCCAUCACGUUGUAAAAGUUCAUCAUAAACAUGAAGAUGCUCUUGCUAUUGCAUUUGAUACUGCAAACUUGAAGUUUUGUGUUGCUUAUGCAAAAAUUUUGAAACCGAAGGUCCACUUUCCUGUCUUCCAGCUCUGUUUAUUUGUAGAAAGCCGAUGCAGAUGCAUGUGAAUCAUUUUAACUGGAGUACGUCUGGCAGCUAAGCUCAGAAGCGAGAAAUCUGUUUGUUGGCUCUUACGUCGGUGCUCAAAGAAGUGGUACAACUCUUGAUCCCAGAAAUACUUGCUAUAUGACUGUCAGGCAGGUUCAGGAAUCUUGCUGUCUGCGACUAUUACUCGAAGUCAUGUGGAAAAGAAGUAUUUAGUAAUUUCUCUGGUCGGUUUAUUUUAUGAAAAAUGUAGGAAUUCCAUUUUUGGCUGAGCACUUAAGUAAUUUUCUGGCCAGUUAACUUUAUGCAAAUUCAUAUGGCUCAAAGAUGUGGAAGCAUGUCCUGCUUGGCUAGUGGUUGGGAUUAUGGAAAUCACAUAGCUAUUCAGUAUGCCGAAGGAAGGAGAUGAAACUGGCUUUGAAUUCCUUUGGAUAGGGAGGAAUCUUGUUCUGCGUGAUGAUGUCUCACCUCAAGUCAGUCGAGUUAUACUGCUCUAACAUUCUCCGUAAGAGUUGGUUCUGAGUUGAUGUUUUCUGAGGAUUAAGAAGCAACCGUUACCAUUUGUAAUACAAUAGCUGUUUAGAGGAUUGAAGAUACAUAUAGCUUGAUUCUUGGUGGUUUUAUCUUUUCUUUUUCUUUUUUGGUUGUUGGGGAUAGUUAGAAGCUUGGUUUUUGUGGAAUAAUCUUGUGUACUUCUUUCUUGAGACUAUUAAAUAUUAUGUUGAUUCUGGGCUUGUGAGGGCAUUAGUCCUGAUUUAGCCAUGCUAAGCAUUUGUAUUGAUCGACAUGAACGAAGCCACUCGGUUCCUCCCUUAGACGGU